Molecule: long non-coding RNA, 382 nt
Organism: Capra hircus (goat)
Lineage: Eukaryota; Metazoa; Chordata; Mammalia; Artiodactyla; Bovidae
Exons: 3
Source: RefSeq, a predicted model, not a curated record
UACUCAACCACCAACUGCGGAGAGGUUACCCUGUGCCAGGCACUGCAGAUGUGAAAAUAGACCAGGCCUGCUCUCAAGGAGCCCCGAGGUCUCUGCUGAAGUGCAAAAGAGGGACACAGUUUUGAUCCUGUGUGCACUGUUUAAAACGAAGUAAAAACAACUUCGAAAACAAUCGCAGACCAGUGGAAGAGACAAAGGUGACGGUGAUGACAAGCACCUUUCUUAGUUCCUUCCUGCCAGAGGACUGAUACCUACCCCAGUGAUGAAUCUAAAGCAAGCUGUUUGAAGGAAUUAUGCAAAUAUCACAAUGGAGUAAAUGAUGAGGGGCCAACCUCUCCUUGAUCUUCAUCUGCUUUGUCCCAUGGUGGCCUCCUAUUCCAGU